UGCCAGUAAAGCAUAGGGCUGGGGU
RNAcentral lists this non-coding RNA (25 nucleotides) under Rattus norvegicus (Norway rat). The record is from RNAcentral. Lineage: Eukaryota; Metazoa; Chordata; Mammalia; Rodentia; Muridae.